ACCCCCCCCCUUCGCUCCCUCACGUGACCCGUCUGUCAGCGCCUCCGCCUGAGUCCGGAUGGAAGCGAGGGAGGGAGCGCUUCAACGUGGGAGCACAGCUGAGCGGGCGGGCCUAGCAAAGGCGGAGCAAGGACCUUGAUUCCCGGGUUCACUGUCACGCCAAGUCACGCGACGUCAUGCGGUCGGGCAAGAUAGAAGUGAAAAGAAGUUCACCACUGCAGCAAGGACACCAUCCUCCUGCGCUUAUCUCCAUGAGGCGGCCUGCUGGGGAGCAAGUUAUCCCUGUCUCUUAGCAACGGGAUUCGGAUGGCCAUGUAAGCAUGUCGGUUGCUGUUCCAUGGCGAAGAAGGGACACGUGUUCCCCAGGCAGCCCUUGCUCUGGCUGGAUUUGCUCUGCUGUGCAUUGCCAACUAGGCACAACCUGAAAUAUCAUAAAGAGGCUUUGCAGUCAUCAUGGAAAGGCC
Long non-coding RNA from Sceloporus undulatus (fence lizard), 464 nucleotides. RefSeq lists it as uncharacterized. The transcript is spliced from 2 exons. The record is from RefSeq and is a predicted model, not a curated record. NCBI's taxonomy places the organism in Eukaryota, Metazoa, Chordata, Lepidosauria, Squamata, Phrynosomatidae.